RNAcentral lists this ribosomal RNA (253 nucleotides) under uncultured bacterium. RNAcentral's name for it is "partial 16S ribosomal RNA". It matches the Rfam family "Bacterial small subunit ribosomal RNA", at positions 524 to 776 of the family's 1533-position model. The record is from RNAcentral.
GACAGAGGGUGCAAACGUUGUUCGGAAUUACUGGGCGUAAAGCGCGUGUAGGCGGUCUCGCAAGUCGGAUGUGAAAGCCCAGGGCUCAACCCUGGAAGUGCACUCGAUACUGCGAGGCUAGAGUCCCGGAGAGGAUGGUGGAACUCUCGGUGUAGAGGUGAAAUUCGUAGAUAUCGAGAAGAACACCGGUGGCGAAGGCGGCCAUCUGGACGGUGACUGACGCUGAGGAGCGAAAGCGUGGGGAGCGAACAGG